CUUGUCAGCGAUAAGGCAUUGGCGGAACCAAAACCGCAAAAGUGGCUUGGUGCCUCAAGAAGCUUGUGGCGUCAUUACAAGCGGUGAAAGCCUGCAAGGUACAUAGGGUAAACAAAUUUGGGCAGAGGCCGACGGGAAUGACGCUCCCGUCGGUUUUUG
Molecule: non-coding RNA, 159 nt
Filed under: unclassified sequences
Description: FuFi-1 RNA
Rfam family: FuFi-1 RNA
Source: Rfam by way of RNAcentral